RNAcentral lists this ribosomal RNA (534 nucleotides) under uncultured Alphaproteobacteria bacterium. RNAcentral describes it as "bacterial SSU rRNA". It matches the Rfam family "Bacterial small subunit ribosomal RNA", at positions 33 to 620 of the family's 1533-position model. Lineage: Bacteria; Pseudomonadati; Pseudomonadota; Alphaproteobacteria. The record is from RNAcentral.
ACGUGGCGGAGCUAAACACUGCAGUUUAGCGAAACUUCGGGUUUAGCGGCGGACGGGUGAGUAACGCGUGGGAACGUGCCCUUCUCUGCGGAAUAGCCACUGGAAACGGUGAGUAAUACCGCAUACGCCCUUCGGGGGAAAGAUUAUCGGGGAAGGAUCGGCCCGCGUCUGAUUAGGUAGUUGGUGGGGUAACGGCCUACCAAGCCUACGAUCUAUAGCUGGUUUUAGAGGAUGAUCAGCAACACUGGGACUGAGACACGGCCCAGACUCCUACGGGAGGCAGCAGUGGGGAAUCUUAGACAAUGGGGGCAACCCUGAUCUAGCCAUGCCGCGUGAGUGAUGAAGGCCUUAGGGUCGUAAAGCUCUUUCGCCUGUGAUGAUAAUGACGGUAGCAGGUAAAGAAACCCCGGCUAACUCCGUGCCAGCAGCCGCGGUAAUACGGAGGGGGUUACCGUUGUUCGCAAUUACUGCGCGUACAGCGCGCGUAGGCGGAUUAGAAAGUUGGGGGUGAAAUCCCGGGGCUCAAACCCGGAA